Molecule: small RNA, 310 nt
Filed under: Histoplasma capsulatum
Lineage: Eukaryota; Fungi; Ascomycota; Eurotiomycetes; Onygenales; Ajellomycetaceae
Also listed under: 1 other name
Description: hypothetical RNA
Source: RNAcentral
UGGAUCAUCGCUGUGGGGCUUAAGCGGAUAUUUUCCUGUGUUUGUAUGUACUGUACAUCCUAUUAUUGACAGAGGUUUAUUUUCUCGCAACGACUCGUCAACUGUGUUGCACGAUAAGCAUGCACAGGGAUGGGAUACCAACUCCUUCCAUCCACUUUCCACCUCCUUCCAUCGUCUUCCAAGGGUCUUCUAGAAGCGCCUUGUCUUAGUGUGCUUCUGGAGAGACAUUGCACAGUCUUUACGGAGUGGACUAACUAUGUACCCGUUGAUUAAAAUUCCUAGCUUUGGACUUUCUUUGUACGCUGCCAAG